RNAcentral lists this ribosomal RNA (253 nucleotides) under uncultured bacterium. RNAcentral's name for it is "partial 16S ribosomal RNA". It matches the Rfam family "Bacterial small subunit ribosomal RNA", at positions 524 to 776 of the family's 1533-position model. The record is from RNAcentral.
UACGUAGGGUCCGAGCGUUGUCCGGAAUUAUUGGGCGUAAAGGGCUCGUAGGCGGUUUGUCGCGUCGGGAGUGAAAACACGGGGCUUAACCCCGUGCCUGCUUCCGAUACGGGCAGACUAGAGGUAUGCAGGGGAGAACGGAAUUCCUGGUGUAGCGGUGAAAUGCGCAGAUAUCAGGAGGAACACCGGUGGCGAAGGCGGUUCUCUGGGCCUGUACUGACGCUGAGGUGCGAAAGCGUGGGGAGCAAACAGG